RNAcentral lists this long non-coding RNA (1559 nucleotides) under Venturia canescens. Its description in RNAcentral is "uncharacterized LOC122410562, transcript variant X2". Lineage: Eukaryota; Metazoa; Arthropoda; Insecta; Hymenoptera; Ichneumonidae. The record is from RNAcentral.
AAUACCACUGCGUCGGCCCUCGCGAGGUCUUCGUCGCGAGAAAUGACGAACGUGACGUCGAUCGAGAUAAAGUCCGUAUUUCCACACAAGAAUCAAGAACCGUUUCGGCCAGUAUCGACGCAGCCAUUCGCUCAGUAUCGACAGAUUUCCCGCCCGAUUAUUCAUGCUCGCGGUGCCCGCGAGCUCGAGCACCACCAGCAAACACCCGAUCGCCGAAAAGCUCGCGAACAAUAUUAUCCAUUUAUUUCGAAAGCGAAUCAUUUUUGUCAUUAUUUAUAAACUUUCUUUUUGACGAUAUUUCAGAUCUUCGCGGGCGGAUUAUGCACUGUGAAAAACGCGACUGCCGCUCGACAACUAUUCUGACAAAUUGAAGAGGAGCGCGUGUGAGGAGGAAUAAAGCAGAGGAGAUUUUAAAAAUCACAAACGAAACGUAACAAGAGACUGUCGCCUCCACUUUCCCGAAGUAAGCAGCGUGACCACGCACUCAACGAAAACUACCGUUCAAAGGCUCCAUUGUUCUUCUCGGAGCUGCCAUCCUCGGAUACGUUUGUUGGCUAUUUUUCAGUUUUAAAACAUUCACGUAAAUAUUCGCGUCGGGGAUGAACACUCGAAAACGCAUCACAGACGAUUCGAUGUCGAAAUUCAAUGAAUAAAUUCGGAAUUUUUGUAGCACAGAAAGUGAACUAAUUUCCAUUUAAAUCUUACACAUUUUCGUAUCAAGUGUCAUUGAAACUUGCAAGAAACUGACAAGAGCAGAUUUUCUAGUGAAUAAACUCCUUAUUUACAUUUUAGACUCGAUCUUUCAUUUCUUUUACGCGACGUCGAAACUUAUUGUGAGAAGCGAGCACCGAGAAUGUCAUUUCAUGAGACCUGUCAAAAUUGACAGCUGUCAAAACCACAACGAGUCCUUCGAUUAUUCCUAUCACAGGCUCUCCAAACAAUUGAUGUUUAUCUGUAAUGUAGUACGAGCUUCAUAAACAUAUUUUCGAGGAACAAAUCGAAGAUGAUCGAAUCCACAGAAUCGUACUCGUCGUGGAGCACCUUUUUUUCGAGGAUCAUCCAGUUAUCGGCUAAAGUAGCAUUCAAAAUAACGAUCGAGAAAAAAAAUGUCAUAUGUCAAAACUAAGUCACAAGAUAUUCUAGUUUUGAGGCUUCCACGGCCAUUAGUGUUGGAAAAGUUACUGCGCGUAGCUUCCGGAUGCCGUGUCAAGAUCACCGUGUCACCGACGCUUCGCAACGUUACAGUUUGCAUCAUUAGAGCUACUGGGAGCCCCGAUACUGAGGCUCCCUGGUCUCAGGUAGUCCUCAUAUACGCCUGUUCAUCGUUCCGCAUGGCUGCGUCAGCCAACCAGAUUUUUCGUUGAUCAGCUGAUCAAUUAAAAAAAUCAAUUAUAAGAAUGAAAAGAAGUAAGAAGAACAUGGAUACAAUUUUUUACGUUAAUAAAUUUGAAUGUUUUUCGAGAAAAGAUUCUUGAAGAAUGGCUCAUUUUGACUGCGCGUAUGAUUCUCGUUCCCUGAUUCUUGUUAGUACUUCAAUAAUGAGAUUUUCAAUCGCAUAG